RNAcentral lists this ribosomal RNA (320 nucleotides) under Salmonella enterica. RNAcentral describes it as "partial 23S ribosomal RNA". It matches the Rfam family "Bacterial large subunit ribosomal RNA", at positions 1589 to 1890 of the family's 2925-position model. The record is from RNAcentral. Lineage: Bacteria; Pseudomonadati; Pseudomonadota; Gammaproteobacteria; Enterobacterales; Enterobacteriaceae.
AGCAACAAAUGCCCUGCUUCCAGGAAAAGCCUCUAAGCAUCAGGUAACAUCAAAUCGUACCCCAAACCGACACAGGUGGUCAGGUAGAGAAUACCAAGGCGCUUGAGAGAACUCGGGUGAAGGAACUAGGCAAAAUGGUGCCGUAACUUCGGGAGAAGGCACGCUGACACGUAGGUGAAGUGAUUUACUCACGGAGCUGAAGUCAGUCGAAGAUACCAGCUGGCUGCAACUGUUUAUUAAAAACACAGCACUGUGCAAACACGAAAGUGGACGUAUACGGUGUGACGCCUGCCCGGUGCCGGAAGGUUAAUUGAUGGGGU